GACGAACGCUGGCGGCGUGCUUAACACAUGCAAGUCGAACGGAAAGGCCCUGCUUUUGUGGGGUGCUCGAGUGGCGAACGUGUGAGUAACACGUGAGUAACCUUCCCUUUACUUUGUGAUAACUUCAGGAAACUGGUGCUAAUACCUGAUAGGUGCUCCUGCUGCAUCGUGGGGGUUGGAAAGUUUCGGCGGUUGGGGAUGUACUCGCGGGUUAUCAGCUUGUUGGUGGGGUGGUGGCUUACCAAGGCUUUGACGGGUAGACGGACUGGGAGGGUGACCGGCGACAUUGGGACUGAGAUACGGCAGAGACUCCGAAGGGAGGAAGAAGUGGGGAAUAUUGAACAAUGGGCGGAAGCCGGAUGCAGCAACGCCGCGUGCGGGAUGACGGCCUUCGGGUUGUAAACCGCUUUCGCCUGUGGCGAAGCGUGAGUGACGGUAAUGGGUAAAGAAGCACCGGCUAACUACGUG
RNAcentral lists this ribosomal RNA (468 nucleotides) under uncultured bacterium. RNAcentral describes it as "partial 16S ribosomal RNA". It matches the Rfam family "Bacterial small subunit ribosomal RNA", at positions 28 to 507 of the family's 1533-position model. The record is from RNAcentral.